UUUGUACUCCUUCCAUCCGAAAAAGCUUGCCCCUCAAAUGGAUGUAUCUAGCAUCAAGUUAGUGCUAGAUAUAUCCAUUUGAGGAACAAGUUUGGGACAAGUUUUUUCAGACGGUGGAAGUAUUUU
Molecule: non-coding RNA, 126 nt
Organism: Triticum aestivum (bread wheat)
Lineage: Eukaryota; Viridiplantae; Streptophyta; Magnoliopsida; Poales; Poaceae
Source: Rfam